CUUGGGCGGGGGUCGCUCAGCCUGGAUUGUGAGAGGGCGCAGGCCAGGCCGAGGGAUCUCACCGGUGCAGG
This 71-nucleotide microRNA precursor is filed under the name Myotis brandtii (Brandt's bat). Its description in RNAcentral is "mir-9193 microRNA precursor family". It matches the Rfam family "mir-9193 microRNA precursor family". Lineage: Eukaryota; Metazoa; Chordata; Mammalia; Chiroptera; Vespertilionidae. The record is from Rfam by way of RNAcentral.